RNAcentral lists this ribosomal RNA (632 nucleotides) under uncultured Tomentella. Its description in RNAcentral is "eukaryotic LSU rRNA". The stretch from base 206 to 360 matches the Rfam family "5.8S ribosomal RNA". Lineage: Eukaryota; Fungi; Basidiomycota; Agaricomycetes; Thelephorales; Thelephoraceae. The record is from RNAcentral.
GAUCAUUAACGAAUCGUCGACACGAGUUGUUGCUGGCCCUCAAACGGGGGCAUGUGCACGCUCUGUUUGCAUCCACUCACACCUGUGCACCCCUGCGGUUCUACGGUCUGGGAGACUCUGUCUUCCUUCUGUGGUUCUGCGUCUUUACACACACACUGUAACCUGGUCUUAUGGAAUGUAUGCAGCGUUUAACGCAAUAUAAUACAACUUUCAGCAACGGAUCUCUUGGCUCUCGCAUCGAUGAAGAACGCAGCGAAAUGCGAUAAGUAAUGUGAAUUGCAGAAUUCAGUGAAUCAUCGAAUCUUUGAACGCACCUUGCGCCCUUUGGCUAUUCCGAAGGGCAUGCCUGUUUGAGUAUCGUGAACACCUCAACUCUCAUGGUUUACCAUGGCGAGAUUGGACUCUGGAGGUUUUGCUGGCCCUCGGUCGGCUCCUCUCAAAUGAAUUAGCUUACCAGUUUAUGGUUGCGCCACAGGUGUGAUAACUAUCUGCUCUUGUGGUCGUACACCGGAUAACCUUCAAUGCUGGAGGUUUGCUGGGGCUCACAAAUGUCUCUCCUUGUGAAGACAGCCUUUUGAACGUUUGAUCUCAAAUCAGGUAGGACUACCCGCUGAACUUAAGCAUAUCAAUAA